Molecule: long non-coding RNA, 517 nt
Organism: Manis pentadactyla (Chinese pangolin)
Lineage: Eukaryota; Metazoa; Chordata; Mammalia; Pholidota; Manidae
Exons: 3
Source: RefSeq, a predicted model, not a curated record
CUAUUUAAUCCACCCAAACCUUGAUUUCAUAUUCUUUGGAUGAAGUAUUUUAAUAUAUUUUCAGAUACAGUGGAUUGUUGCUGUAAUGUUUCCUUACUUUAGGAAAAACAAACCAUGGAUGUCAAGCCCAGAAAUAUGACUCCAGUGGAUCCUGGUGGAACUGAAACCGAGUCUCAGUCAACAAGUUUUGAAAUUUCUAGGAAUGAAGUAGAGGAUGGAUCUGUACUUCUUGAAUCUUGCGAGGUGUCAACAGAAAGUAAUCAAACUACUUGAUUCCCAAAACCUGAGUUAGAGAUUCAAUUUACACCUUUACGGCCAAAAGAAAUGACAGUGAAGCACCCUGGCUGUACCACACCAGUAGCUGUUAAGAUUUCCAAGGCCCGGAAGAGGAAGGGUAAUGAAAUGGAGGAGGGCUUGGUGAAAUAUGAAAAUAAGAAGAAUGCUACACCCAGAACUAAUUUGAAGUCCCCUGUUUCUGAGCAUAGCAAUUCUCCUCUCAAAAAGGAACAGAAGAUUU